UACGAAGGGGGCUAGCGUUGCUCGGAGUCACUGGGCGUAAAGCGCACGUAGGCGGAUCUUUAAGUCAGGGGUGAAAUCCUGGAGCUCAACUCCAGAACUGCCUUUGAUACUGGGGAUCUCGAGUCCGGAAGAGGUGAGUGGAACUCCGAGUGUAGAGGUGAAAUUCGUAGAUAUUCGGAAGAACACCAGUGGCGAAGGCGGCUCACUGGUCCGGUACUGACGCUGAGGUGCGAAAGCGUGGGGAGCAAACAGG
Molecule: ribosomal RNA, 253 nt
Filed under: uncultured bacterium
Lineage: Bacteria
Description: partial 16S ribosomal RNA
Rfam family: Bacterial small subunit ribosomal RNA
Source: RNAcentral